RNAcentral lists this long non-coding RNA (1702 nucleotides) under Capsicum annuum. RNAcentral's name for it is "long non-coding RNA (CANN_LNC001662)". The record is from RNAcentral. Lineage: Eukaryota; Viridiplantae; Streptophyta; Magnoliopsida; Solanales; Solanaceae.
AAAAUUUCCCGAUAGCAUUUUGCAAUCUUUUCUAGCAAAAGUUCCAAUACUAGAACACGAUGCUCCACCUCCUCAUCCCCUGUCAAUGAAGCCUCUGCCACCUCCAUCAAGAUCUCCGUCACCACACACUGCCAGUAUGCUCCGUCCACACACCACACACCACACACCACACACCACACAUCACCAAUAGCUCCGACCACCUACCACCAGUAGGUCCGACCACACACCACCAGUACGCAACCACAAUCACCACCAAUCGACCACCAGUGCUCCGACCAGAAACCAACUUCUCCACUACUCUGACAACCACUUCGAUUUUAGCUCUCAAUUUGCAGUUCAAUUUCCAAGCAAAUUUGCGGUUUUCUUUUGUAAUUCGGUGAUUUUAAGGUUAAUGUAUUCUUCUAAUUUAUUGAUUCAGAGUGCUAUGUUUCCUUAAGUUCAGAUGAGGAAUUAGACCCUGAAGAGCUUGAAAAUAUUCUUGCUAAACUUUAGGAGGCUGUGAAAUAUGAUGUUAGGCAGGUGUCUAUUUGGAACGCUCUUGGCACCAUACUUCUUAGAAUUGGUCAUUUGUAGGUGCAACCAUCUUAAUAUAUUUAUUCGAACUCAUUGACAUACUUGGAACUUUCUCUGAUUAUAUUUUGACGCUUAUGGUUUCUGUAGAGUGCUAUAUCAGUCUUCUCAACUUUGUUGGACAUUUCCCCAGAAAACUUGGAUUGCCUUGGUAAUCUUGGAAUUGCUUGUCUCUAGAGGUAUAAAGGGACAUUCAUUCUUACUGAUUUUAGGCUACUUACUGUACUAUUUACAACUUAUAUUAAUGUCAUCGUUUCAAUAUUCUUGUGUUUGAUCAAAUUAGACUAAUGAAAAAUAGAUUGAUGUAGAAGCUAAAAGCAAUUGGAGAGGUGGAGAAGCACUUUGUACUUACGUGUUGGGAAAGGACGAAGAGAAAUAAUAUCAUGAUGAACUGAUGUUUCUAUUGAUGUUGCAUCCGGGAAGAAAAAAAUAAAACUUAUGUGUGAAUCACUUGCCGAGAGAUUAGUUUGUUUUUGGCUGAAAAACUGUUGAUGCAUCAUUAUGUUGUGCAACAUAUGGACUUUGCUAUUAGUUGGAAUUGAGUGUCUAUUGGAAAAAAUUCACUUAUAAGCCUCUUUUAUUCAUGAAAAACUAAGUUAUACUGUUCCUUUUAGUGAUGUGUAAGUCUCUGUUACUUCCUUAUUAAUUGUGAAACUUAUUGUUUUCCUUUCUUUUUUAGUUUGAAUUAAAAUCCUCUUAGGGAAACUCAAGUGGUAAAAAUCCUAUGGGUUACACAAAUAAUCACAAAACGGUGAACAAGCAUGUAUAUUUCACUGGAUUUAUCUUUUCCUUUUAAGUCCUGCACAUUUGAUCAUAUCUACUGAUGAUUCAACUUAGCCGCUGGAACUUCUCCCUUUUAUUAGAUACAGUGGAGAAAUGCUAGUAUGCUAGUUUAAGGAAAUUUCUUACUGUUACAAGUAGAGAUCUACAAGGAGAAAGUAAGGUUUGUGUCGCUUGCAAUUGUAACUGACGAGAUCUAUUGAUCCAUAUCUAUUUCUAUCAGUCAAUGUCUCUUUAUCCAUAAGUAUGCCUUUUAAGUUAUCAAUUGAAGGACAAUAUAAAAAUAAAAGGGAGUAAACUACAUGGGAUUAUUCUGAAUAGAGCAACAAAAGUAAGUCAUCAACACUCUUUN